UGGCGCGUGUGAUUCCGCAGUCUUGGGCUGUUCGGCCAAGUGCCCACCAGACGUGGGGCACUGGAGGGUCAGCAGCGUGGAGUCUGGCUUUCAGCGUCCACGGCUGGGAAAUCGGCCAUCGCCACGGCGGGAACUAGGACUGGCUGCGUCCCGGCCCUUCCCCAUCCGUCCACCGGACUCGUGGGCGCCCGCACUGGCGCUGAUGUAGUUUCCUGACCUCUGACCCGUAUUGUCUCAAGAUUAAAGAGCUGCGCCUGGAUCCUGCCACAGUGAGGAGACCUGAAGACCAGAGGAAGCACAGCAA
This 304-nucleotide non-coding RNA is filed under the name Pongo abelii (Sumatran orangutan). The record is from RNAcentral. Lineage: Eukaryota; Metazoa; Chordata; Mammalia; Primates; Hominidae.